This 87-nucleotide transfer RNA is filed under the name Candidatus Falkowiibacteriota bacterium. RNAcentral's name for it is "tRNA-Ser". It matches the Rfam family "tRNA". Rfam says of the family: Transfer RNA (tRNA) molecules are approximately 80 nucleotides in length. Lineage: Bacteria; Candidatus Falkowiibacteriota. The record is from RNAcentral.
GGAGACUUGCCAGAGUGGUUGAAUGGGACACUCUCGAAAAGUGUUGUGCUCGCAAGGGCACCCAGGGUUCGAAUCCCUGAGUCUCCG